AUUGAACGCUGGCGGCAGGCCUAACACAUGCAAGUCGAACGGUAACAGGAAGAAGCUUGCUUCUUUGCUGACGAGUGGCGGACGGGUGAGUAAUGUCUGGGAAACUGCCUGAUGGAGGGGGAUAACUACUGGAAACGGUAGCUAAUACCGCAUAAUGUCGCAAGACCAAAGAGGGGGACCUUCGGGCCUCUUGCCAUCGGAUGUGCCCAGAUGGGAUUAGCUAGUAGGUGGGGUAACGGCUCACCUAGGCGACGAUCCCUAGCUGGUCUGAGAGGAUGACCAGCCACACUGGAACUGAGACACGGUCCAGACUCCUACGGGAGGCAGCAGUGGGGAAUAUUGCACAAUGGGCGCAAGCCUGAUGCGGCUAUGCCGCGUGUAUGAAGAAGGCCUUCGGGUUGUAAAGUACUUUCAGCGGGGAGGAAGGGAGUAAAGUUAAUACCUUUGCUCAUUGACGUUACCCGCAGAAGAAGCACCGGCUAACUCCGUG
Molecule: ribosomal RNA, 490 nt
Filed under: uncultured bacterium
Lineage: Bacteria
Description: partial 16S ribosomal RNA
Rfam family: Bacterial small subunit ribosomal RNA
Source: RNAcentral